This is a long non-coding RNA of Mirounga angustirostris (Northern elephant seal), 1204 nucleotides long. RefSeq lists it as uncharacterized. Lineage: Eukaryota; Metazoa; Chordata; Mammalia; Carnivora; Phocidae. The record is from RefSeq and is a predicted model, not a curated record. The transcript has 3 exons.
CCUCGGUCCCUCCAACCCCCAAAGAGGCGGUCGGGUAGCCGGGCCUGCGCCUCCCUCUGGCCUGCAGGGCACCCGUUGCGGCUCUGGGGGCGAGGAAGAGGUCGGCGCGGGCGAGGCGGGGCGCGGCACGGGCGCCCUAGGCGGUAGAGGGAGGCGCUCCUUCGCGCCGGGAGGAGGGGGCCCUUCUGCUCUUGGGAUCCCGUCGUGCAGGUGUUUGUGCUGACGCUGACGAAUCGGGGCCGGUCCCACCUCCCGCUGGGGAGCGGGAGGCCGCUGACUGCCCGAGUUCACGGUGCGGGCACGCGCCUCCGGUACCUUGCCUGCUCGGGAAGCACGUCCGCACCCCAGCACAGCGCGUUUGCGCCCCUACGCGCACGCGGCAUAGCCGCAACCCAACAGCACAUCUGCACACCAACACAGCACGCUUGCACCCUAACAGCAUGUCUGCACCCCAACACAGCACACUUGCACCCCAACACAGCAUGUCUGCACCCCAACACAGCACGCUUGCACCCCAACACGUUUGCACCCCAACACAGCACACUUGCCUCCUAAUGUGCACAAGGCACAUCUGCACCCCAACACAGCACGUUUGCACCCAACACACAGCGUAUGCGCACCCUGACACAGCAUGCUUGCACCCCAACACAAACAAGGCACGUCUGCACUCCUACAUGUGCACACAGCACGUCUCCAUUUAAAAGCACAAGGGUCAUUUGCACCCCAAGACAGCACUGUCUCCGGAUGGAAGACCAAAGCUAGGAAACCACCCAUCAUUCAUCAAACGAGAACCAUCCAUUUCAAAGACAAAACAGCUCAAGUCAGGGUCCUGGGCUCUACCCGCAUCCCUAUCAGAAAAUGCGCCACCGCGGAUUUUAAGUCAUCUCUACACUCAAGGUGGGGCAGGCCCUCACACCCCGAUUUCAACAGCGGCAGGCACCACCGAGUGAGCCAGCCAGGCGCCCCUGACAUACAGCAACUUUAAAAACCUGCCAACGGCCUGGGUCUUGACAGCACGCCUCCUGGAGCAGGCGAGCACCGGGCUCGCAGUCUGCGGAGGAGCACCCCGCCGGCCCCAGGGCACCCGCGGCGCCGGGGCGAACCGGGCAGGCCGAGCGGAGCCAGCUCCGCCCGCAGAGACCGCGACAGGACACCCGCCCACCUGGGGGAAGGAAGACCGCGAGCGGCACGGCACGGCGGCGCG